This 279-nucleotide unclassified non-coding RNA is filed under the name plant metagenome. RNAcentral's name for it is "partial contains small subunit ribosomal RNA, internal transcribed spacer 1, and 5.8S ribosomal RNA". The record is from RNAcentral.
UUUCCGUAGGUGAACCUGCGGAAGGAUCAUUAGUGAAUUUAAGGCCCUGGUUUCCACCGGCCUCACCCUAUUCUAAUCACUCGUGCACUGUCAUUCUUGACGCCUAUCUGUAUUGUAUGUCGGUUGACCAUAAAUAAAGUUCAAACAACUUUUAGCUACGGAUCUCUUGGCUCUCACAUCGAUGAAGAUCGCAGCAGACCGGAAGCGCAUACGUUCGAACUCCAGUCAUGCAUUGUCAUCUCGUCUGCUGACUUCUGCUCGCUAACAAACUCAACUCAC